Molecule: small RNA, 59 nt
Filed under: unclassified sequences
Description: Streptococcus sRNA SpF59 (ldcC RNA)
Rfam family: Streptococcus sRNA SpF59 (ldcC RNA)
Source: Rfam by way of RNAcentral
AGACCAAUCUUCUGCUAAGCUGAAGAUAAGCCCUUACGGACAGGCGGGUCGGUUGCCGG